Molecule: ribosomal RNA, 480 nt
Filed under: uncultured bacterium
Lineage: Bacteria
Description: partial 16S ribosomal RNA
Rfam family: Bacterial small subunit ribosomal RNA
Source: RNAcentral
GACGAACGCUGGCGGCGUGCCUAACACAUGCAAGUCGAGCGAGUGAAUCUCCUUCGGGAGUGAAGCUAGCGGCGGACGGGUGAGUAACACGUGGGCAACCUGCCUCAUAGAGGGGAAUAGCCUUUCGAAAGGAAGAUUAAUACCGCAUAAGAUUGUAGCUUCGCAUGAAGUAGCAAUUAAAGGAGCAAUCCGCUAUGAGAUGGGCCCGCGGCGCAUUAGCUAGUUGGUGAGGUAAUGGCUCACCAAGGCGACGAGGCGUAGCCGACCUGGGAGGGUGAUCGGCCCCAUUGGGACUGAGACACGGCCCAGACUCCUCCGGGAGGCAGCAGUGGGGAAUAUUGCACAAUGGGGGAAACCCUGAUGCAGCAACGCCGCGUGAGUGAUGACGGCCUUCGGGUUGUAAAGCUCUGUCUUCAGGGACGAUAAUGACGGUACCUGAGGAGGAAGCCACGGCUAACUACGUGCCAGCCGCCGCGGUAA